UACGGGGGGGGCAAGCGUUGUUCGGAAUUACUGGGCGUAAAGGGCUCGUAGGCGGCCAACUAAGUCAGACGUGAAAUCCCUCGGCUUAACCGGGGAACUGCGUCUGAUACUGGAUGGCUGGAGUUUGGGAGAGGGAUGCGGAAUUCCAGGUGUAGCGGUGAAAUGCGUAGAUAUCUGGAGGAACACCGAUGGCGAAGGCAGGUCUCUGGGCCACUACUGACGCUGAGAAGCGAAAGCAUGGGGAGCGAACAGG
This 253-nucleotide ribosomal RNA is filed under the name uncultured bacterium. Its description in RNAcentral is "partial 16S ribosomal RNA". It matches the Rfam family "Bacterial small subunit ribosomal RNA", at positions 524 to 776 of the family's 1533-position model. The record is from RNAcentral.